UGGAUGAGCCCGCGGCCUAUCAGCUAGUUGGUGAGGUAACGGCUCACCAAGGCUUUGACGGGUAGCUGGUCUGAGAGGACGACCAGCCACACUGGGACUGAGACACGGCCCAGACACCUACGGGUGGCAGCAGUCGAGAAUUUUUGACAAUGGGGGAAACCCUGAUCGAGCGACGCCGCGUGGAGGAUGAAGGUCUUCGGAUUGUAAACUCCUGUCAUUGGGGAACAAGGUGCAUAUGUUAACUGCGUGUGUAUUGAUAGUACCCGAAGAGGAAGAGACGGCUAACUACGUGCCAGCAGCCGCGGCCG
Molecule: ribosomal RNA, 308 nt
Filed under: uncultured bacterium
Lineage: Bacteria
Description: bacterial SSU rRNA
Rfam family: Bacterial small subunit ribosomal RNA
Source: RNAcentral